This is a long non-coding RNA of Solanum lycopersicum (tomato), 1549 nucleotides long. RefSeq lists it as uncharacterized. Lineage: Eukaryota; Viridiplantae; Streptophyta; Magnoliopsida; Solanales; Solanaceae. The record is from RefSeq and is a predicted model, not a curated record.
CCUAUCUAUCAUCUUCAGAACAGCCUGCAGAUAUGCUUACCAAGGCACUUGGAAAAGGCCAUCAUAAGUAUUUAAUGUCCAAGCUAGGAAUGAAGAACAUCUUCAUAGCUCCUAGCUUGAAGGGGGGGUGUAAAAGAACUAACUAAAUGUGUACAAGUUCCCUAGCAUUACUAAUUGUAAUUAAACAUUGUUAAGAGUGUAAAUAUAGUUAGUUAGUUAGUUAGUUAGUUUGUUAGCAAAGGUCAGUAAAUUAGUUGGGGUUUUGAGUCAUUAUAUAUGCUUGUAAGUAGCAUUAGUACGGUUAAGUUUCAAUAUCAGAUUUUUCCUCCUCUUCCUCAUUGCUUCUCUGUUCUUCCUUUUACUCUUCAAUGGAGUUUUCUUUCUCCAAUUCAGUUUCUUAACAUUCGAUUUUCGGAUAAGACUUGGAUUCUGAAUUCGAAAUGGGCCUAGGGAUGAUCCAAAUUUUAUCCAUCUUUCCCCAAGUUUGGAACCCUUUAUAUAUAUUCUCUCUAGCGUUCAAACCAGGGGUAGGAGACUCUGGGAGAAAGAUUUAGGAGUUGACUUUUUUUUUUUAGUUGGUAAUUUCUCGUUCUAAAUAGAAAAAGCAGAGAGAUUUUUGUGAAAAGGAAAUCUUGGAGAAGGAUUUCUUUUCGGAUUUUUUUUUUUUUUGAAAAAAAAAGAUAUUGAAGAAAGGUUUUCUUAUUUUGCUCGUGUUUGUGUUCGUGUGUUGGUGAAUUGGUCUCUUGCUCGUCGCUGUCUCCAAGUUCGCUGCCUACAACAAGAGGAAGACCACCAUCUCUAUCCGGAUCAUAGCUUCAUUCGUUCGUUGAACCGGCAAGGGCAAGCGAUAGAAAAGUCCCUCGCGCGAACUACUACUACUAGAAAAUGGUGAGACCAUUAGUGAAAGAAGGACCAAACCAAGGAGGAUCCUAUCCUAAAGGAGAAGGAGGAGUUGGAGGAGUCAGUUUUCUUUGAAGAUCGAGGAACGUAGUGUCGGACAAUUAUGCCAUUCGGAAGAAGUCUUCUACAGAAGAAAAGCCUGUUACGACAUCUUUCUUUUUUAUUCAGCUGUCUUUUUUAUGUCACUUCCAGUGAAGGUCGGGUAUGUGCCACUUAUACCAUCAGCAGAUGGAUUAAUUACCACUAGUUCCAUGCCACCCAGCAUCUGUCGCUACGCUGUUCCCAAGGACUAGCAAAAUCGAAAUAGCGAAAUUCUUGGGUCAUCUCAAUGGGUUCAGAAACCACACGUUUCUCUGGAUCAUCAUAGCGUACUUCCACAUAUCCACUCAGAGGAAGGUCUUUUCGUAAUGGAUGACCCUCGAAACCAUAAUCUGUUGAUAUACGGCGUAGAUCCGGAUGCGUGUAAAAACUCGUUUGAGUUCGCAUAAACUCUUACCUUCUUUUGUUGCAUUUCGGGAGAGCCAUGAAGGCUCAAAAUUCCUUUAUCAAGUCAAGACAUGAAAUUGACAUACAUGUCCCGAGUUGGAAGGAUCCAAACAAAUCAAGAAGUUGAAGAAAUUGGGCUAAAGAGUCCACAUAUUUUUUUAAA